This 161-nucleotide small RNA is filed under the name human gut metagenome. Its description in RNAcentral is "Clostridiales-1 RNA". It matches the Rfam family "Clostridiales-1 RNA". The record is from RNAcentral.
GAUACAAGGGUCAAAAGGUCAGAAAUCGUUCCUGCGUGCAGGAUAAGAGUUCUGACUUAUUGACCCGCUCACACAUGAGGAAGUAGUGAUUUCCUUUGGAAAUCAACGGAUUCCGAAUGUGUGUAGAAUUGUGGAAGUUGCGUAGCAACGGAGCAAUUCGU